GAGUUUGAUCCUGGCUCAGGAUGAACGCUAGCGGGAGGCCUAACACAUGCAAGCCGAGCGGUAUGGAUCUUUCGGGAUCCAGAGAGCGGCGUACGGGUGCGGAACACGUGUGCAACCUGCCUUUAUCAGGGGGAUAGCCUUUCGAAAGGAAGAUUAAUACCCCAUAAUAUUUAGAAUGGCAUCAUUUUAAAUUGAAAACUCCGGUGGAUAGAGAUGGGCACGCGCAAGAUUAGAUAGUUGGUGAGGUAACGGCUCACCAAGUCUGCGAUCUUUAGGGGGCCUGAGAGGGUGAUCCCCCACACUGGUACUGAGACACGGACCAGACUCCUACGGGAGGCAGCAGUGAGGAAUAUUGGACAAUGGGUGCGAGCCUGAUCCAGCCAUCCCGCGUGAAGGACGACGGCCCUAUGGGUUGUAAACUUCUUUUGUAUAGGGAUAAACCUACCCUCGUGAGGGUAGCUGAAGGUACUAUACGAAUAAGCACCGGCUAACUCCGUGCCAGCAGCCGCGGUAAUACGGAGGGUGCAAGCGUUAUCCGGAUUUAUUGGGUUUAAAGGGUCCGUACGCGGAUGUGUAAGUCAGUGGUGAAAUCUCACAGCUU
This 601-nucleotide ribosomal RNA is filed under the name uncultured organism. Its description in RNAcentral is "bacterial SSU rRNA". It matches the Rfam family "Bacterial small subunit ribosomal RNA", at positions 9 to 610 of the family's 1533-position model. The record is from RNAcentral.